RNAcentral lists this ribosomal RNA (465 nucleotides) under uncultured Klebsiella sp. Its description in RNAcentral is "bacterial SSU rRNA". It matches the Rfam family "Bacterial small subunit ribosomal RNA", at positions 338 to 795 of the family's 1533-position model. The record is from RNAcentral. Lineage: Bacteria; Pseudomonadati; Pseudomonadota; Gammaproteobacteria; Enterobacterales; Enterobacteriaceae.
CCUACGGGCGGCAGCAGUGGGGAAUAUUGCACAAUGGGCGCAAGCCUGAUGCAGCCAUGCCGCGUGUGUGAAGAAGGCCUUCGGGUUGUAAAGCACUUUCAGCGGGGAGGAAGGCGUUAAGGUUAAUAACCUUGGCGAUUGACGUUACCCGCAGAAGAAGCACCGGCUAACUCCGUGCCAGCAGCCGCGGUAAUACGGAGGGUGCAAGCGUUAAUCGGAAUUACUGGGCGUAAAGCGCACGCAGGCGGUCUGUCAAGUCGGAUGUGAAAUCCCCGGGCUCAACCUGGGAACUGCAUUCGAAACUGGCAGGCUAGAGUCUUGUAGAGGGGGGUAGAAUUCCAGGUGUAGCGGUGAAAUGCGUAGAGAUCUGGAGGAAUACCGGUGGCGAAGGCGGCCCCCUGGACAAAGACUGACGCUCAGGUGCGAAAGCGUGGGGAGCAAACAGGAUUAGAUACCCAUGUAGUC